GAGUGAUGAUGUUUUAACCUAUUCCAUUUCUGAACACUCUGUGGAAAAAAAUAACUGAACUC
Molecule: small nucleolar RNA, 62 nt
Filed under: Chaetura pelagica (chimney swift)
Lineage: Eukaryota; Metazoa; Chordata; Aves; Apodiformes; Apodidae
Description: Small nucleolar RNA SNORD98
Rfam family: Small nucleolar RNA SNORD98
About the family: The members of this family belong to the C/D class of snoRNAs which contain the C (UGAUGA) and D (CUGA) box motifs. Most of the members of the box C/D family function in directing site-specific 2'-O-methylation of substrate RNAs.
Source: Rfam by way of RNAcentral